GAUGAACGCUGGCGGCGUGCCUAAUACAUGCAAGUCGAGCGAACGGACGAGAAGCUUGCUUCUCUGAUGUUAGCGGCGGACGGGUGAGUAACACGUGGAUAACCUACCUAUAAGACUGGGAUAACUUCGGGAAACCGGAGCUAAUACCGGAUGAUAUUUUGAACCGCAUGGUUCAAAAGUGAAAGACGGUCUUGCUGUCACUUAUAGAUGGAUCCGCGCUGCAUUAGCUAGUUGGUAAGGUAACGGCUUACCAAGGCAACGAUGCAUAGCCGACCUGAGAGGGUGAUCGGCCACACUGGAACUGAGACACGGUCCAGACUCCUACGGGAGGCAGCAGUAGGGAAUCUUCCGCAAUGGGCGAAAGCCUGACGGAGCAACGCCGCGUGAGUGAUGAAGGUCUUCGGAUCGUAAAACUCUGUUAUUAGGGAAGAACAUAUGUGUAAGUAACUGUGCACAUCUUGACGGUACCUAACCAGAAAGCCACGGCUAACUACGU
Molecule: ribosomal RNA, 496 nt
Filed under: uncultured bacterium
Lineage: Bacteria
Description: partial 16S ribosomal RNA
Rfam family: Bacterial small subunit ribosomal RNA
Source: RNAcentral